Molecule: ribosomal RNA, 437 nt
Filed under: uncultured bacterium
Lineage: Bacteria
Description: bacterial SSU rRNA
Rfam family: Bacterial small subunit ribosomal RNA
Source: RNAcentral
AACGCGAAGAACCUUACCAGGUCUUGACAUCCCUCUGCCGUCUGUAGAGAUACAGAUUUCCCUUUUGGGACGGAGGAGACAGGUGGUGCAUGGUUGUCGUCAGCUCGUGUCGUGAGAUGUUGGGUUAAGUCCCGCAACGAGCGCAACCCUCGUCGUUAGUUACCAGCAUUUUAGGAUGGGGACUCUAACGAGACUGCCAGCGAUAAGCUGGAGGAGGGCGGGGAUGACGUCAAAUCAUCAUGCCCCUUGUGACCUGGGCUACACACGUGCUACAAUGGGUGGUACAAAGGGAAGCGAAGCGGUGACGUGGAGCAAAUCCCAAAAAGCCACUCUCAGUUCGGAUUGUAGUCUGCAACUCGACUACAUGAAGUCGGAAUCGCUAGUAAUCGUGGAUCAGCAUGCCACGGUGAAUACGUUCCCGGGUCUUGUACACACCG